ACAUGUACAGCUUGCGAACUUGUCAUUUGAAUCUGUUCGUCAGUUCGUGCACUAAGAUUAUCCGGAAAAAUUUGAAACGAUUUGUGAAGUAUGAGUCGAAUAUCUCCUCGAAACCAAGUUCAGACUUGAACUUAUUUCUAUUCAACGACAAAUGAUCAUCAAAUGCGAUCGAGAAAUAUUGAACAAAUGUUGGUGGUUUAUAUUCACUACGAUGGUGGACAGGUUUAACUAAAGAAGUUGAUAAUUGUUCACGAAGAAGACGGUUUGGCAUUUGCUAAUUAUUCCCAGAGGCUGAGCUACACAUAAUAACAAAUAAUUUAACACUGAAUGAAUUGUUCAUAAAACUCUCAGAACAAAGAUUAACAAUGGACAAUAUAUUCUCUGAUGAAGUUAGCAAACACUUCCAUUCAAGGUGUAGUUAUAAAUGACAAUUUAAACUACGAAA
Xenia sp. Carnegie-2017 is the source of this 445-nucleotide long non-coding RNA. RefSeq lists it as uncharacterized. Lineage: Eukaryota; Metazoa; Cnidaria; Anthozoa; Malacalcyonacea; Xeniidae. The transcript is spliced from 3 exons. The record is from RefSeq and is a predicted model, not a curated record.